UGGAGGCUGUUAGAAGAAUCUAGAAGAGUUGGUUGACAACAAGCGUGCGUGCAAGAAGGUUAUCGAAGUCUUCAGAGUGUAAUAUAUAUAUAUAUAUAUAGCUGUUGUGUGUAAAAUAAAGUAAACUAUUUGUAUUUCCGAAUCCUCUUUAUACCUUAACAUGGUAGCAGAGCGUGGUUACUAGUUUUCCAAGCUAUUUAGUGCGUGGUUUUUAGUCUUGCGAGUUAGUUCGAGUGAGUUUAGUGAGGGAAGAAACGUUCAAAGGAUAUAAAAUAAAAGAAAAAAUACUUCGAGCACGUAGGAACGCUUGAGUAAAGAAUAAGAAAUCAAUUAAAAUCGAGAGAUCGGAAAUUAUGACAUCGAUAUUUGAUGGUGAGGAUUACGGUAUGUGGAAGACAAGAAUAACGAUGUUUCUGUGGUAUAAAGAAUGCCAUAUUGUUAUAACUAGAGUGAAGACUGAAACAGACAAUCUAGACUGGAAUAAAAAGGAAUAAACAUAGGGCAAUAAACAUAAUUUAUAGUGCCAUCUCAAAUAGACAAUUAGAAUAUAUUAGGGAAGAAAAAGCAGCGUAUGAAAUAAUGAAAAAGUUCGACGAAAUGUACUUGAAAGAGUCGACGCCAUUACAGAUCGUGUGCAGAAGGAGAUUGGAGAAGAUAGUCUUGAUAAAUACAGUGAUUCUGCAUCCUUCUUUAGCGAUUUUGAAAAAUUAAUAAAUGAAUUAAAACGUGCGGGCGCACAAGUGAGUGAGAGGGAAAAGCUGAAUCACAUGCUAAAUACGUUACCCGAAGAGUGUAGUUAUAUAGCGGAUAUAAUAGAUGUAUUGAAAGAAGAGAAUCAAACGGUAGUGUACGUGAAAAACAAAAUAGAAAUAGCGGAGAAGAAAGAUAAACCUAAUCGAGGAGAAAUGAAAACUAACGCCUUUGCUGCGAAAAAGGAAGGAUGUUUUAAAUGUGGAAGAGUGGGACAUUUUGCGAGAGAGUGUCAAAAUGACGUCCAAUCGGGUAGCAGUAACAGUUAUCGGUGUGGGUCAACACGUGGUCGCAGCAAAGGAAGAGGAAACAAAGGCAAUACGAGCAGGGGACGUGGAAACUUCCAUCGUCAAUCAGCAGCCGGCACGAGCGAGUAUGGCAACUCAGGAGCAGGCACAUGGAUGGCAACAGCGCACGCACCACACAGCAGCGAGAUGAACGAGAUAAGUGGUUAGAACUCUUCCUGGAGCACCCCUGUUACACGCGUAGGAUGGUCAUCAUGGAGUUUUAGUCGGUAGGAGUCCUGCACUACUCUGCUGUUACGCGAUUACUGCAGCAACGGAGUGUCUAUGAGGAUUUCUCCGCGUACAAAAAAAAAAAAAAAAAAAAAAGAAAGGUUAUAACUUGUAUAAAAAUAAACAUUUUGUUAGUUUCGCAAUAUUGUAACUUGUGUACAGCUUUUAUAAAGUAGACUUUUUAUCUCCGAAUGUGACAAAUGUCAUACUUGUUUUACUGAAGCAAUCUUCAGUUGAAUCAGAAACUUGUUCAGAUUCCCAUUUAGCGAAUUGAAAACGAGAAUACUUUUGUACCUCGUGUAACUUUUUGAUCUAUCGAACACAACUCUGUGUACAGCAGCAAACAAACAAUUAAAAUUUUCUGCUAAUAAAAAUAACAAGUUAUCGCACUUUAUAAAUAAUUAAAAUUAAUUUAAUAAAACAAGAAGAAGAAUCUUCCAAUUUACUUUUACGUUUCUCGUAUAAAUCUAUUUUUAUUCAUUAUGAUUUAAGUCGAAUAUGAGGUGCCAUCGCAAACUGGGGAAACAUAUUUCGAAAAUAAUAGUAGUGCACAAUCUAUGAUGUCUUGGCACAAAAUUGCCAAGCAAUUCUUCGACUCUAUUCAUAAUUAUGUUCAUUCGAAAUACUUCAAAGAAUCUCUUCGUCAAGAUUUUUAGCAGGUGAGAUAUGAACGAGGAUACACUUAAUAAGAAAUCGAUAAAUACAUAACUUAUAGAACUUAUUGUAGUUCAAUUUCAUUUUAUAGUAGAUCAUAUAUUUUUCUCACAGGUAUCCCAACUAAAAUACCUUUUUUUAUAUUAAAAGAAUUAUCGAACAUCGAUUUAAUUUAAGAAUGAAGUUUUCAAAAUUUAUCUUAAAGCAUACGUAGCAAUAAAUUGAUUUAAAUAAAAGCGCUACAAAGCGAUUCUUCGAAAAUUAUCAUAUACUACAUAUCUUAAAUAAAAAAUUGUUGACAAAUUUUUCCAAAGACAGAAAGAGCAUUUUAAUAUCACUGAAAUAAAAAAGCAUUAGAAUAAUUUCAUAAUUUAUUUCCGAAACCUAAUUCAAUUCUCCGAUUAAUCGGCCCUUCUUUUACAGCUUCUUCUCUACGCAAUAUGAAAGUUUAAAAUUUUAUUUUCAUGUUAAAUUUCGUCUGUCAUUAACAAAAUUCAAUUUAAAUUUCUUUAUACGAUUCAAAUUCUACACGAUCAAGCGAAAAACAAAAAUUGUGUACAAUGUUCCAAAUCAUAAUGUAAUUGGCGCAUCUCAUGAUGAAAUGUUUUUCCGCUAUUAGAUAAAUGCAGAUUCGCCUGUCCAUCACCGAUAUUGCCAGAAGUAACGAAACGACCACCUCUUUUUUUCUUUCUCGCUGUCGUGAAUUGCGGUAUCGAUAAUCUCGAGCGGAAGCGCGAACUUACCCGGUGCCUCGUGCAUUUUGGCAACCGUCCACACGCAUACAACCAAAAGCCCGCCACGUAAUAUGCAAAUGAACAUAAUCCCUAAAAGGUCGAGACCGGACGUAUGCUUUUUUGCAACUUGUACUCUUAGGAUCUAGUUUAGGCCACCGGAAGUGCUGACCACCGUCCUUACAAGACAGCUUCCGUAACUCGAAAAUUGUUAUUUCUUUUUUAAAUUUUGCAGCUUGUGUUAAGAGCCGGGACCUUGAUAGCUGUAUUAUUAUUGUAGAAUUAUUGUAGAAUUAUAGUAAUAAAUUAGAUUUCAUAUAUUUAUUAUAUAUAUUAUACGUUUUUUGAUUUGGCAAAACGAUAUUUAUACAUAAUGUAAAAUUUCUUUAAAUGAAACUUUUAAGAAAUCAUUAUUAAUUUCGCUAUAAUUUUAUGUAAAACUCAUAUAGAACAUUUAAGCUAUUUUAAAGAAUAUUUUCUAUCGAUUUGCAAUAUUUCAAGAAAUUCAACGUUUUUGGUUACCUGACUUCCUUUAUAUGGUAAAUCUUUAGCCAAUUAGUAAAUUUUUUCAACCGAGCAACAAUUCCUUUUUUCUCCUUUCCUCUAGAUAAGAGAAUGGGCUAAACAGUGGAUUGUCAACUAGUGCAUCAGUUUUAUAGGUAGGUAUAUAAUUUCUUACGUAAAUCGUAAUUCCUGUUAAUAAAAAAUAAAUUUUUCGUCCUUCGUUUAAAAAUUUUUCUUUGAAACAUAAAUUUUGCAAAAUCGUUAAUUCUUUAACCUAGCAAAUAGCAAACGAAAAAUUUUUUAAAUAAAUUAUAAUUUGGAUCCCUGUCAUGAACUUCUUACUUUGAUUACGAAGUUUUCUGCGAAAGUUUUUGAAAAUUUGCGAGUUUACAAAACUCCGCAUAAAAUUUUUCUCCUAAUGAAACAGAUAAAAAUUCAAUGAAUUAAAAGAAUUUCUGUUUCAAUAGAUUGUAAUAUAUAAUAAAUUUCUGCAUUGCACAAAAGUUUGAUUUACUUAGUUUUAUAUCAAAUAUUAAAAACACAAUUCUGAUUCCCAUUCGGGUGAAAUUUUAUAAGAUUUCAACGUUUCGCAUAAAUUUGAAAUACGUAUGAAACGAAGUUUGUGAACGGCGGAGGUUUUCUAGGAAAAAUGGUCCUACAAGUUAGAUCGACCGUAGCUUCAAAAACAGCCACUUGCGACGUAAUAAAAAAUAAAUUUUAUGAUAAUUUUCAUUCAACUCGAUCGUUUUUCUUUCGUCUGGCUAUUCAGGCAGUUAUGCAUUUUACUAUUGCCGUUUUACAUUAUCUGACCUAACUCUUAAUUUAAUAGUUUCAGGAUAAUUUAUUUUGUCAAUUUUAUUUUCUCUUUUCUUUAGAAGGAAACGAUCCAACGAUUCUUUUCUAACAUAUUUUCAUUGAAACUUUUUAACACCCUUUUCAUCGAAACACACGACUGCACCUAUUACACGUGUGAAUGUACUUUUAACUGGAAACAACCAUCGAUAAUGGGAAAUUAAAUUCACAUCAUUGUUGUCGCAUUCAUUCGAUAAACAUGUCCGUUAUCGUGCAUCAUGUCAUUUUAAUUCAACUAGUAAUUACCGAAAAAUUUCAUGUCGUACGAUCGAAUGUGCGAAGUAAUUAUACCCUAAUGACCAUCUAAUGCAAUGGUAAAUCAAACUGACAAUCACCAAUAAUCAACUGUUUCACUUCAUUGAGGAAAUUUACUUGUUAAAAUUCGUAUUCAAAGAUAACUAAUGAAUGACCGUUCUAUGCAAACGAUUUAUUUUACUAAAUUUAGAUCAUAUUAUAUAGAUUAUCAUUAUUUUUUAUUCCAAAGUUCUUCUGAAUUAUUCUCAAUUAUGUAUACGUUAUCGUAUUAAUAUAAGUUGCAAUUAUUUUCAAGAUAUUUAAAAAAUAUUAAAAUAUUGAUACAAUUGAAACGUAAAUAUUAAACAUGAGUAUUAAAAUACUAAUGUAAAUAAAUAUUAGAAGAAGCUCGCACACAAUGAACUUUUUAUCGUGAAAGAAAAGAUAAAAAAGAUAAAUUUUGAAUAAGUUUGCCAUGACUCUCCUUAAUGAAGUUACACUAUUAUACGUUUGGUAUUUACAGUUCCUUUUAGAAGUAUGUCAACCUCGUAAUAUCACGACACAAUGACACUCGAUUAUCGUGUAACUUCCAGCUCGUUUCCAAACAUCAAAGGCAAUUACUGCCUGAAUCUUCCUGUCGCAGUUUUGAUUCCAGCAAUAACAACGUGUUCACGAUGUUGUACGAUAAAAGCCACGCAACAGGACGCUUGUAAAAUGGCACACGAAACAGUUACUGCCUGUGAAACUUCCUAAAUUUAUGGAAAUUCGGCUUUCGUUCCAAGCUAUAAUGCUUCGACGCUUUGGCUUAAUGGUUAAUGGAAGUGUAGUAAUAUGCAGAAGUUCCUGUACGCUUUUUUAUUGUCUUUUCAGCUCUGCUUUGGAAGAGAGGAAUUGAUAGAAGUUUUGCAUUAUGUAAAAUAUAGGGAAAGUAGAUGUCUCUUACUUGUGAAGAUUAGAAUGUGUUUUAAUGUUCCAUCUUUAAAAGUUGAAGAUGAAAUGAUGACAAGAAUCUCUACAAGUCGCUGUGUAGAUGAAUUUUUUUAUUAAAAAAACAAAA
Molecule: long non-coding RNA, 5297 nt
Organism: Bombus huntii
Lineage: Eukaryota; Metazoa; Arthropoda; Insecta; Hymenoptera; Apidae
Exons: 2
Source: RefSeq, a predicted model, not a curated record